AACGAACGCUGGCGGCAGGCCUAACACAUGCAAGUCGAGCGGACCCUUCGGGGUUAGCGGCGGACGGGUGAGUAACGCGUGGGAAUAUGCCCUUCUCUACGGAAUAGUCCUGGGAAACUGGGGGUAAUACCGUAUACGCCCUUUGGGGGAAAGAUUUAUCGGGGAAGGAUUAGCCCGCGUUGGAUUAGGUAGUUGGUGGGGUAAUGGCCUACCAAGCCGACGAUCCAUAGCUGGUUUGAGAGGAUGAUCAGCCACACUGGGACUGAGACACGGCCCAGACUCCUACGGGAGGCAGCAGUGGGGAAUCUUAGACAAUGGGGGCAACCCUGAUCUAGCCAUGCCGCGUGAGUGAUGAAGGCCUUAGGGUUGUAAAGCUCUUUCAGCUGGGGAGAUAAUGACGGUACCAGCAGAAGAAGCCCCGGCUAACUCCGUG
Molecule: ribosomal RNA, 433 nt
Filed under: uncultured bacterium
Lineage: Bacteria
Description: partial 16S ribosomal RNA
Rfam family: Bacterial small subunit ribosomal RNA
Source: RNAcentral